Long non-coding RNA from Oncorhynchus tshawytscha (Chinook salmon), 2067 nucleotides. NCBI's taxonomy places the organism in Eukaryota, Metazoa, Chordata, Actinopteri, Salmoniformes, Salmonidae. The record is from Ensembl.
AUAUGGAAUGAAUGAAUAGAGAUUCUAUAUGUAAUGAAUGAAUAAAGAUUCUAUAUGGAAUGAAUGAAUAAAGAUUCUAUAUGGAAUGAAUGAAUAGAGAUUCUAUAUGGAAUGAAUGAAUAGAGAUUCUAUAUGUAAUGAAUGAAUAGAGAUUCUAUAUGUAAUGAAUGAAUAGAGAUUCUAUAUGUAAUGAAUGAAUAGAGAUUCUAUAUGUAAUGAAUGAAUAGAGAUUCUAUAUGGAAUGAAUGAAUAGAGAUUCUAUAUGUAAUGAAUGAAUAGAGAUUCUAUAUGGUAUGAAUGAAUAGAGAUUCUAUAUGGAAUUGUGUGAUCAUGUGAACAUAGGAGGUCCCAUACUGGGAAGAAAUGACAUCUACUUUCACCCGUGUGUGUGUGACUGUGAGAGUGAAGUCCUGCAUCUCACUCAUCUCAAUAACUGCAGUGCUGCUCGUGGCAACGUCAUUUAGCUGAGUUUACCUUUAAGGUGACAUUGUUGGAAGUGUCCAGGCCUUGGCAGAGCACCCUAAGCUGGGACUGGAAAUGGACCGUAAACCUGUUGGACUGCCAUGACCACUGGAAGCAUGUACUGAGGACCUGAAACGUACAACUGUCACUUCACUGCAGUACGUUUACAUAAGGAAAACCUCCCUGACCACUCCCUACAUCUUCCUGUUCUUACUGUAAACUGUGAGGGCUCACAACUGCACUGGCGAACCACCUGAGGAGGAAUUUAAUUUCUGUGACAUUCUGUUCUCUGAGAGAGGUUCUGUUCAAAGAAUUAGAAUGGAUGACUAAUCCUGAAUUCUAUGAUUCUGCUUUGGUUGGUGUCUGUCUCACACUAUGUGGGAGACUAAUGCAUUGGGUGGUGGCUUCAAAAAGAAGUCUAUGGUGUUAUUCUAUAACUAGCACAAGAUUUGCAAUGUUCAAAUUAGAUGUUUUUAUUGCCUGUCUAUUUUGUUGAAUCGUGUAACUCUUCUGAAAGUGAUGGUUUCUGAAAUAUGUAUACUGAUGUUAUUGAGAGAUGAAGAGUUCUAACUUCUACGUCGCUACUACCACAAUAUUUAGUCACACUUUACAUUAAGUUAAACUGCCAUGUGUGGUAUUACAUAAUAACUAAGCCAUUAUUUCAAAUAGAAUCUAUUCAGUUUCCUUUUGCAGUAUUACAAUUCAAAAUCAUUGGGUUAUGCACCUUACCAGCAGAUACCAUGCACAAUAUAUCAUGAAUCUACAUGAUACGUAAAGUGUAAAGUGUUGACCAAUUGUCUUGACCACUAGAUGACACAACAGGGCUGUAAUGUUCUACCUACUACAAGGACAGACAACUCUGAAACUUUUACUUGCAUCUUUGCACAGAAGUAAGUUGACACUAUGGACACCACGUACAUACAAAGCACUCUAAAAGCAAACAAACGGCUAUUGAAAUGGCAUUUUAAGACGUCACAUACUGUAUAUGGAAAGCAGCACUUCACACACACUGACCUUUUGACCAGGAAACAUGGAUAUUUCACCUUUUAAAGCAGAUUCCAUGAUAUGAUUUACAACCAUAUUGAUCGGUUAUAGUUGGUGUUCUUGACAUUUAUUCAACUUCCGUGUCCUUCCUUAUUUUCCUAUGUCUCCAUGGCCACCGAGUUCUAUUUAUAGGUGAAUGGCCAGUCCUGUCUGCUCCACUUCCUGUGUGUGUGGGGGGGGUACUUGAAUCCUGACCACCAGGACUCUGACCUCUUGACCUCUGCGUUAGUCUUUUUUUUUACGCAUCCCACACAACAACAACAUAGCCAGAUGGAUUACUUGAUGACUUCCUGGUUGGUUGCUUUAUUAGAUUCCAGAAUAAAACUCUGAUAUUGCAGGUCACGGUAUGUUGGGAUGUACGUUAGUGGAAUCAGGUUGUUACUAGCUGUGCUCUAUUAUUAUUUUCUACAGAUACCACUGUAUAUGUUUCCCAUCCUUCUCUGUUGUAUCACAAAAUAAUAAUAAUUUCACUACUGUUUGUGGCAGAAAGCACUUCCAUGUGAAAAAGAAUGGCACUAUAGAGCAAAUAAAACACAUUGAUUGAUUAUGAGUCAAUUCUGG